Molecule: long non-coding RNA, 627 nt
Organism: Phyllostomus discolor (pale spear-nosed bat)
Lineage: Eukaryota; Metazoa; Chordata; Mammalia; Chiroptera; Phyllostomidae
Exons: 2
Source: RefSeq, a predicted model, not a curated record
AGGAUAUUGGGGAGCACAGGGGCAGGUCCACCACCUGUUGUUGGCGCAGUGUCACCCCUGGGUCACCACAGCCCAUCUUCUCCUGUCCUGGGGAACAGCACUCCUAAUCCCUAUGGAUAAUCCCUUGUUGCUAGCGCUUGCCACCCUUUGGGAUGAGGGAUUGCUCUUUGUUGGUAGGAGAAGGAAGGUGAUAUCCUAGCAACCAUUUGCCAUCCCUCUGUUGCCAUGGAAGUGUCACCCCAAUAACCCAGUUGCUCCUGGUUGUUCAGGAUGCUACCCUUGGGCAGUGAUGGCUUGCCCUUUUGUUGCUAAGGAAAUGGUUCAUUAGGAAACUGGACAUACCCUUGGUUGCUAGGGAAAUGGUACCCCUAGCAACAGAGAAUGGACUGACUCUGUUCCUGGCAACCAUGGUCAGCUUCAGCCAAGGCUGGGGGAGCAGCCCCUCCUCGAUGUAAAUUAUGAAAUAUUCCUUGAUAGGGUGGGGCCAUCCCCUCGUGCAUAUGAACUGCCAUUCCGUUUCGGUGGAGAUGGCCCCCCAACAUGAACUUUUUCCCACUGCCCUCACGUGGACUGGAGAGGGUGUCCUCCAGAAAAUGUCAGGUGGAAGCCAAAGGCUUUUUUUCUUUU